AAAUAUAUACAUAUUUUGCUGAGAAGUCAAAAGACUUUUUUAAAAUUAAACUAACAAUAUUAAACUAGUCAUGUUUACCAAAAGAUUUACGCAGUUAAAAAUAUUGAAAUUAAAAUCUCCUGACUUUAGCCAAAAAUGGAAAUAUUUUUUCUAGAAAGUGAGGGUUGAAAAGAACAGCUCAAGCAAAGUCUUGACCUCAUGAAAUAGUACUGAAUCCUGCUCACAGCACCAGAAAUAUCAAUCCAAAGGAAGAAGCAGGGGCAAAAAAAUAAAAUUUUAAAGAAUUUACUUCAGCCAAGGUGAGGACAGCUGCCUGGAAGACUCAGAUGCAUGUUACCUAAGAUAUGAACUUUGGCCUUUUUAAUACGGUUUAUAAAGUAAGAAGCAGAAUAAGUAGUCAGCCAUUGUCAGGAAUUCUCGUUAGUUUGCAGAAAUAACAUUGAUUAGUGAUAAGCUGUAUGUUGUUGAACUACAGUCUGAAUUUAGCAAUGAAAUAGCUGGAUCAUAUAAUUCUAUGUUCUAAACAUAGAAGAAGGUACAUUUUAUGGUUUUUUUUUUCCAAGAAAUGUCCACAUUGUUUUUUAUAGUGGCUACACCAUUUUACAUUUGCACCAGGAGUUAAAAAUCAUUCUAAUUUCUCCCUCUUCUUUUUACCGCUUGUUCUUUUAGGGAUUAUGCUGUUGUUUUUCAUAUAAUAGCCAUUCUCAUGUGUGUGAAGUGGUAUCUCAAUAUGAUAGAACAUCAAUUUUUAUAUUUAUUUUAUAAAGUUUUAUUUUUUAUGCUGCCACUAUGCUAAAUCUUGGUAUUUGUCAAAUCUCUUGAGUUUCUAGGUAUAGUAUAUCAUCUACAAAUAGAAAUUAUGUUUUUAUUUUUUUCCUUUGGGAAUCAUGUUUGAUAAUGCUAUGUACAAUAUGCCAAGCACUGUUCUAAGAAGUGUUAAGAUAGUAACAUCAAAAUACAUUGUGAGCAGGAGUGAAGAUACAGACAUUUCUAAAAUUACGGCUGAGAAUGUGACAAAAGACAUCUAAUAGAGAAGAAAGUUCGCUUUAAAAAGGACCUGAAACUUAUUCUCACAAUUAAAAAGUCAACUUUUAUAAGUUACACAGCCUCUUUGUGUCUCACAGCUCUUAUUUGUGAAACAGAUAAUAAUAACAGAUUAUUUAUCGUUGAGUAUAUUAAGAGACAGAAGUAAUAUCCUGACUUGAAAAUUAAAAUAUUUAUUAGUGUAAUUAACUGAGAUAACAGUAAUAAGAAUAUGUCAAUUAUUGGAACAGAUUAGAUAAUAGUUUAAUAGGACCAUCAACAUUUUAAUUCUAUAAAAAAUGUAUGUCUUUCUGUUUACUCUUUACAAAACUACUUAGUCACUCUCUAUUACUUAAUUACUAAAGCCUCCUAAUUCUUAGUAAGGCCUUUCUAGGGCCACCUAAACUUACAGUCUUUAACCACACUGUUUAUGGAUUCCCUUCUUUAGCGCCUUCUUUUUUUCCUUAUCUUGCCUGGUGCAAACCACAGUUUUGCUCUGCUUUUCUGUCUUAUGUGUUUGUAUAAAGACAUCUGCCUUUAUGUAAAUUCUAACCAAUUACAGCUGUGACAUUUUCCUCGAAACAUGUAAAUUCUGUGAGUUCUUUUUUAUUUGAAAUCUCUUGUAUCUUUACCAUAUUAUGGGCACUCAUUUGAAGUAAUAAAUAUUUUUUAAAAAUACCGGAUAAGAAAUUUUGAAACACAGUCAACAAAUAUUCAUAACAAAUAUUAAACUACAGUUGCUUAUUGAGCAUGAAACACUUGUGAUUACAUUUCAAUAGGUUCUGUGCUCUCAAAGUAUGUUUUAAAAAUUUAUUUUUUUCAAUUAAACUUAAGCAGUAUAUUGUUUUUAAAAGUAAAACAAAAAAAAAUACUAUUCACAAUAGCAAAGACAUGGAAUUAACCCACAUUGCUUUCAACAGUAGACUGGAUAAAGAAAAUGUGGUAGGUAUAUACCAUGGAAUACUAUGCAGGCAUAAGAAGGAAAAAGAUCAUGUCCUUGACAGGGACAUGGAUGGAGCUGGAAGCCGCUAUUCUCAGCAAACUUAACACAGGAACAGAAACCCAAACGCUGCAUGCUCUCAUACUAAUAAGUGGAAGCUGAAUGAUGAGAUACAUGGACACCUUGGGGGAACAACACACCCUGGGGCCUGUCAGGGGGCGGGGAAAGCAUCAGGAAGAACAGCUAAUGGGUGCUGAGCUUAAUACAUGGGUGAUGGGUUGAUCUGUGCAGCAAAGUACCAUGACACACAUUUACCUGUGUAACAAACCUGCACAUCCUGCAUAUGUACCCCGGAACUUAAAAGUUGAUUUUUUUAAAAAAGUAAAAAAAUAAAUACCUAAAAGCAGGGGGUAUUUGUGGUACAAAAAUUCAUAGUAAACACAUACCAACUAUUUGAAAACAUAAUCUUAUCUCUUAAUGCAGUUAUAUUCUGCUUUAUUACUUACAUAUUAUAAAAUAUGGAUUCAUGGCAUAAUUGUCAAAGGCUUCCAUCUAUUCCUACCACAUAUCCAUUUUUGCUGAUUUUGUUCAUUUUCUUUUUUUGUUUUUGAUUUGUUCAUUUUCCAACAAAGCUGGGAUAAAAACAUCUUCAUGCUCAUGCUAUAAUAACUUCUCACAAUAUGCCCUGGGUUACUCAAAAGAAAAUGGAGUUGUUUUGCUCAUGUUUUUGACACUUGAGUCAAUCAUCAACAAAUAACAUAAGAGGAGCCAAGGACAUGUGCGUGCCUGUGAAUCAC
Molecule: long non-coding RNA, 2760 nt
Filed under: Homo sapiens (human)
Lineage: Eukaryota; Metazoa; Chordata; Mammalia; Primates; Hominidae
Description: non-protein coding lnc-ZNF679-1:1
Source: RNAcentral